AGCGAACGCUGGCGGCAUGCCUAACACAUGCAAGUCGAACGAAACCUUCGGGGUUAGUGGCGGACGGGUGAGUAACGCGUGGGAACGUGCCUUUAGGUUCGGAAUAACUCAGGGAAACUGGUGCUAAUACCGAAUGAUGUCUUCGGGGGAAAGAUUUAUCGCCUUUGGAUGGGCCCGCGUUUGAUUAGCUAGUUGGUGGGGUAAAUGGCUAACAAGGGGACGGUCCAUAGCCUGGCUGGGAGGGUGGUCAGGCACAAUUGGACUGGGGCACGGCCCAAACUCCUGCGGGAAGGAAGAAGUGGGGAUCAUGCGCAAUGGGGCGAAGCCUGACGCCAGCAAGGCGGGGUGAGUGAUGAAGGCUUAAGAGUUGAAAAGUCUUUCUACGCGGGCUAUUAUGACGAGACCCGGAAGAAUAAGCCCGGCUUACUUCGGU
RNAcentral lists this ribosomal RNA (433 nucleotides) under uncultured bacterium. Its description in RNAcentral is "partial 16S ribosomal RNA". It matches the Rfam family "Bacterial small subunit ribosomal RNA", at positions 29 to 507 of the family's 1533-position model. The record is from RNAcentral.